This 258-nucleotide ribosomal RNA is filed under the name uncultured bacterium. Its description in RNAcentral is "partial 16S ribosomal RNA". It matches the Rfam family "Bacterial small subunit ribosomal RNA", at positions 103 to 354 of the family's 1533-position model. The record is from RNAcentral.
CGGGUGAGUAACACGUGAGUGACCUGCCUUUUAGACUGGAACAACUUACCGAAAGGUGAGCUAAUGCCGGAUGAGUUAUAUAAGUGCAUGUUUAUAUAGGAAAAGUUGGGGAGACCUGACGCUGAAAGAUGGACUCGCGUCCCAUUAGCUAGUUGGUGGGGUAAUGGCCUACCAAGGCGACGAUGGGUAGCCGGCCUGAGAGGGUGGCCGGCCACACUGGGACUGAGACACGGCCCAGACUCCUACGGGAGGCAGCAG